RNAcentral lists this transfer RNA (65 nucleotides) under Archivesica sp. 1 Sanya-2018. RNAcentral describes it as "tRNA-Ala". It matches the Rfam family "tRNA". Rfam says of the family: Transfer RNA (tRNA) molecules are approximately 80 nucleotides in length. The record is from RNAcentral. Lineage: Eukaryota; Metazoa; Mollusca; Bivalvia; Venerida; Vesicomyidae.
GGUGGAUUACUUUAAUUGUAGAAGGUUAAGUUUGCAACUUUAUAGUGUGGUUUCCAUAUCCACUU